UACGAAGGGGGCUAGCGUUGCUCGGAAUUACUGGGCGUAAAGCGCACGUAGGCGGCUUCUUAAGUCGGUGGUGAAAUCCUGGAGCUCAACUCCAGAACUGCCUUCGAUACUGGGAGCUCGAGUCCGGGAGAGGUGAGUGGGAACUGCGAGUGUAGAGGUGAAAUUCGUAGAUAUUCGCAAGAACACCAGUGGCGAAGGCGGCUCACUGGCCCGGUACUGACGCUGAGGUGCGAAAGCGUGGGGAGCAAACAGGG
RNAcentral lists this ribosomal RNA (254 nucleotides) under uncultured bacterium. Its description in RNAcentral is "partial 16S ribosomal RNA". It matches the Rfam family "Bacterial small subunit ribosomal RNA", at positions 524 to 777 of the family's 1533-position model. The record is from RNAcentral.